GAUGAACGCUGGCGGCGUGUUCAACCCAUGCAAGUCGAACGGAACGGCCCUGCUUUUGUUGGGUUCUCGAGUGGCGAACGGGUGAGUAACCCGUGAGUAACCUGCCCUUGACUUUGGGAUAACUUCAGGAACCUGGGGCUAAUACCGGAUAGGAGCUCCUGCUGCAUGUUGGGGGUUGGAUAGUUCCGGCGGCUGGGGAUGGACUCGCGGCUCAUCAGCUUGCUGGUGGGGUAUUGGCUUACCAAGGCUUUGACCGGGAGCCGGCCUGAUAGGGUGACCGGCCACAUUGGGACUGAGAUACGGCCUGCACUCCUACGGGAGGCAGCAGUGGAAAAUAUUGCUCAAUGGACGGAAGCCUGAUGCAGCAACGCGGCGAGCGGGAAGACGGCCUUCGGGUUGUAAACCGCUUGCGCCUGGGACAGAGCGUAAGUGACGGUGAUGGGUAAGGAAUGACCGGAUAAGUACGUG
Molecule: ribosomal RNA, 468 nt
Filed under: uncultured bacterium
Lineage: Bacteria
Description: partial 16S ribosomal RNA
Rfam family: Bacterial small subunit ribosomal RNA
Source: RNAcentral